CUUCAACAGUCAUCAUUCCAUAAACACGCUCGAUUAGAGAGUUUGCUUUUGGAAUGAUGAAGACAAGAUUCAGAGGAAUCUUCCUGCAAGUGCUGGAGGUUCAUCACACCUUUGUACCUCACGUAAGUGAACAAACACAUAGCAGCAUUUUAUGUUCUUUGGAAUAUAUUUCUAUUAAUUUAUAGAUUUAAUGUAUUUAUUGCAGGUUGUCCCAGCUUGUGCUGUCCUGCAUAAUAUCUGCCCCUGUGCUGACGACACCGAGGCCCCAGAGGAAGAUGUGGAGGUGAUGAUGAGGAGGAGGAGGAGGAGGCGGCGGCUGGUUUGGAGGUCAUCAGCGGUCCUCUCUGGCAGGACCAACUACCUGCUGAGGUUUCUGUCCUGGGGGAGGUACAACCAGACCUUUAUUACUGGUAACAGCAUCCGUGGACAGCCAGCCCUGCAAACUCUGAAGAUGGACGAUGCAGUCUACAGUCUCUGCAGAUCAUCCUGCAAGAUGUUCCAAUCACCACCCAGAAAGUUCCAGCCCAGGUCUCAGUUGAAGCCCCCCAUCCAUGUCAACACAUCUUUGUAAAUAGUUGGAAAUAAAAGUGUUACAUUAAUAAUGAUUACUGUGUUAGAUUUAUACCUUUAUUUAAAUUAACAAAGCAGACAUUUGUAAUAGUGGACUUCCUACUAACCUUCUCCUGAUGCUGGAUACUUACAAUCCUGAACACAGAAUCAUCAUAGACAGCAGAAAAAAGAAGAGACAAACCUUUUUAUAACAUGCAUAUUUAACCUGUAUCAAACAUGUUAUAUUCUUCACCACACAUCAACAUACUUUGUAUUUUUUUAAGUUGUCCGACUGUUUUUUGGCCUGUAAGGGGAAACCUUUUCCAUCAGAUCCAUUUUCUCCAGGAAAAACCCAAAACAUAGA
This 913-nucleotide long non-coding RNA is filed under the name Oryzias javanicus (javanese ricefish). Its description in RNAcentral is "lncRNA (ENSOJAG00000008389.1)". The record is from RNAcentral. Lineage: Eukaryota; Metazoa; Chordata; Actinopteri; Beloniformes; Adrianichthyidae.